RNAcentral lists this ribosomal RNA (452 nucleotides) under uncultured bacterium. Its description in RNAcentral is "bacterial SSU rRNA". It matches the Rfam family "Bacterial small subunit ribosomal RNA", at positions 29 to 524 of the family's 1533-position model. The record is from RNAcentral.
AGCGAACGCUGGCGGCAGGCUUAACACAUGCAAGUCGAACGGGCGUAGCAAUACGUCAGUGGCAGACGGGUGAGUAACGCGUGGGAACGUACCUUUUGGUUCGGAACAACCCAGGGAAACUUGGGCUAAUACCGGAUAAGCCCUUACGGGGAAAGAUUUAUCGCCGAAAGAUCGGCCCGCGUCUGAUUAGCUAGUUGGUGUGGUAACGGCGCACCAAGGCGACGAUCAGUAGCUGGUCUGAGAGGAUGAUCAGCCACAUUGGGACUGAGACACGGCCCAAACUCCUACGGGAGGCAGCAGUGGGGAAUAUUGGACAAUGGGCGCAAGCCUGAUCCAGCCAUGCCGCGUGAGUGAUGAAGGCCCUAGGGUUGUAAAGCUCUUUUGUGCGGGAAGAUAAUGACGGUACCGCAAGAAUAAGCCCCGGCUAACUUCGUGCCAGCAGCCGCAGUAAU